RNAcentral lists this ribosomal RNA (460 nucleotides) under uncultured Hyphomicrobium sp. Its description in RNAcentral is "bacterial SSU rRNA". It matches the Rfam family "Bacterial small subunit ribosomal RNA", at positions 135 to 629 of the family's 1533-position model. The record is from RNAcentral. Lineage: Bacteria; Pseudomonadati; Pseudomonadota; Alphaproteobacteria; Hyphomicrobiales; Hyphomicrobiaceae.
GGUGCGGAAUAGCUCAGGGAAACUUGGGGUAAUACCGCAUACGCCCUUCGGGGGAAAGAUUCAUCGCCGAUAGAUGAGCCCGCGUCUGAUUAGCUAGUUGGUGAGGUAACGGCUCACCAAGGCGACGAUCAGUAGCUGGUCUGAGAGGAUGACCAGCCACACUGGGACUGAGACACGGCCCAGACUCCUACGGGAGGCAGCAGUGGGGAAUAUUGGACAAUGGGCGCAAGCCUGAUCCAGCCAUGCCGCGUGAGUGAUGAAGGCCUUAGGGUUGUAAAGCUCUUUUGCCGGGGACGAUAAUGACGGUACCCGGAGAAUAAGUCCCGGCUAACUUCGUGCCAGCAGCCGCGGUAAUACGAAGGGGACUAGCGUUGUUCGGAAUCACUGGGCGUAAAGCGCACGUAGGCGGAUUCGUAAGUCAGGGGUGAAAUCCCGGGGCUCAACCUCGGAACUGCCUUUG